GACGAACGCUGGCGGCGUGCUUAACACAUGCAAGUCGAACGGAAAGGCCCUGCUUUUGUGGGGUGUUCGAGUGGCGAACGGGUGAGAAACACGUGAGUAACCUGCCCUUGACUUUGGGAUAACUGCAGGAAACUGGGGCUAAUACCGGAUAUUAGCCCCUGCUGCAUGGGGGGGGUUGGAAAGUUUCGGCGGUUGGGGAUGGACGCGGGGCUUAUCAGCUUGUUGGUGGGGUAGUGGCUGACGAAGGCUCUGACCGGUAGCCGGCCUGAGAGGGUGGCCGGCGACAUUGGGAAUGAGAUACGGCCCAGACGCCUACGGGAGGAAGCAGUGGGGAAUAGUGCACAAUGGGCGGAAGCCUGAUGCAGCAACGCCGGGUGCGGGAUGACGGACUUCGGGUUGUAAACCGCUUUCGCCUGUGACGAAGCGGGAGUGACGGUAAUGGGUAAAGAAGCACCGGCUAACUACGUG
RNAcentral lists this ribosomal RNA (468 nucleotides) under uncultured bacterium. RNAcentral's name for it is "partial 16S ribosomal RNA". It matches the Rfam family "Bacterial small subunit ribosomal RNA", at positions 28 to 507 of the family's 1533-position model. The record is from RNAcentral.